CGAGAGGUUAGUCGUUUAUACGUUUGACCAAAGAGAAUACCUGAACACGCGAUUGAAAGAAACGAUACAGUGACGGCAUUCGAAAUGUGUUUCAAAACGCUUUUAAUUGAUUGCGUCUACCCACAACGCUGACCAGUGAGUGGAACGAGAAAAUAGCGGGAAAACAAGCCAAAGCUUGUGCGAAAGGUCGUUCCAGCGACAAGAUGGAAAGGAGACGAUUAAAUGAAGCGCAAGAUUUUCGCAGAGGACAAAGAAACAUUCGGUGAAAAAGGGGUCCGCACAUUCGCAGAGAGCACGCUGCCAGAGCUUGAGGAGACCUUACGUAGGCGGACAGUUCAGCACCGGCUGCGCUUUACGAGCCCGUUCUUCCUCCCCGCCGACGGCUGUGCACAAUAUACAAAACGUUAAUAUCCUGCGACGAGGAGUUAAUGGACACGCGGCACGGAGCUUCCCCGUUACGUAGGAAUCGAGCGAAGAACGAGCGGAUCGCCGGCUAAUACGAACGUCAAACACUUAAACAUCCCUUGGGCGAUGGAUCAGGCCCUGUGGGAGCGGACACCUGAGCAUGCGAGCCAGACAGAGCCUCUAAACCCCGUUGGAACAGAGGGACGCUGGAUCGCUAUGCGCCCUGGAAUCCUCGAGAUUCGUGAGUUGGCGCGUUUCGAGGGCGCGUUUGUCCCUCGGCUAUUUUUCAUUAAGCUAAAUUCACGAGUAAAGAAUUUAUUUACUGCUGAUUGGAUAACGGAUUUUAGUCGUCGGCGAAACAAUGUAUUGCAAAAAUUUGAUUUUGAAAACGACGUUUAAUGCAUCUGUAGACCAAAAAAACGAAAUUGAUAUCUCCAAGGACCACAAGGAGGGAACCAAUUAGCAGGAAAAACGUGCGUCGAGCGACCCUUUGUACCCCGAAGGGUGCACGAUUUCACGGAUCUUCGCCGACUCUGGCUCCCUUUCGUGCAUCUGCAACCUGGGGAACAGCGUAAAAUUUAAAUAAAUGUCCACCGAGCGGACUGCGCCGGAUACGGUGUAUUAGGUGACAUGCUAAUCGCGGCUCGGUGCAACAUCGUAAAUAUGCGACCGAAUAAUCGGUUCCCCCUGCACCGUGCAAACCUGUCGCCGCUACUUUUCCUUGCCUCUUUCUCUUUCAAUUCUUCCGCUGCGACGUUCGUUUUGUUCUACGUGAUUCUAACGAAACAUACCUUCAAGUGUUGUAAGAAAAGGUAAUGUCUCUCGUUUUACAAUAUUUUUCCACCUUUCCG
Molecule: long non-coding RNA, 1256 nt
Organism: Hylaeus volcanicus
Lineage: Eukaryota; Metazoa; Arthropoda; Insecta; Hymenoptera; Colletidae
Exons: 4
Source: RefSeq, a predicted model, not a curated record